AUACGUAGGGGGCGAGCGUUGUCCGGAAUGACUGGGCGUAAAGGGCGUGUAGGCGGUUGUCUAAGUCUGGAGUGAAAGUCCUGCUUUCCCGGGGGGACUAGCUUUGGAUACUGGAUGACUUGAGGUCUGAAGAGGUAAGUGGAAUUCCCAGUGUAGCGGUGGAAAGUGUAGAGAUUGGGAGGAACACCAGUGGCGAAGGCGACUUACUGGGCCGUAACUGACGCUGAGGCGCGAAAGCGUGGGGAGCGAACAGGAUUAGAUACCCGGGUAGUCCACGCGGUAAACGAUGAAUGCUAGGUGUUGCGGGUAUCGACCCCUGCAGUGCCGGAGUAAACACAAUAAGCAUUCCGCCUGGGGAGUACGGCCGCAAGGUUGAAACUUAAAUGAAUUGGCGGGG
RNAcentral lists this ribosomal RNA (397 nucleotides) under uncultured bacterium. RNAcentral describes it as "partial 16S ribosomal RNA". It matches the Rfam family "Bacterial small subunit ribosomal RNA", at positions 523 to 918 of the family's 1533-position model. The record is from RNAcentral.